RNAcentral lists this ribosomal RNA (433 nucleotides) under uncultured bacterium. RNAcentral describes it as "partial 16S ribosomal RNA". It matches the Rfam family "Bacterial small subunit ribosomal RNA", at positions 29 to 507 of the family's 1533-position model. The record is from RNAcentral.
AACGAACGCUGGCGGCAUGCCUAACACAUGCAAGUCGAACGAGACCUUCGGGUCUAGUGGCGCACGGGUGCGUAACGCGUGGGAACCUGCCCUUAGGUUCGGAAUAACUCCCUGAAGGGGGUGCUAAUACCGGAUAAUGUCUUCGGACCAAAGAUUUAUCGCCUUUGGAUGGGCCCGCGUUGGAUUAGCUAGUUGGUAGUGUAAAAGCCUACCAAGGCGACGAUCCAUAGCUGGUCUGAGAGGAUGAUCAGCCACACUGGGACUGAGACACGGCCCAGAAUCCUACGGGAGGCAGCAGUGGGGAAUAUUGGACAAUGGGCGAAAGCCUGAUCCAGCAAUGCUGCGUGAGUGAUGAAGGCCUUAGGGUUGUAAAGCUCUUUUACCCGGGAUGAUAAUGACGGUACCGGGAGAAUAAGCUCCGGCUAACUCCGUG